RNAcentral lists this transfer RNA (72 nucleotides) under Rhodopirellula europaea 6C. RNAcentral describes it as "tRNA-Asn". It matches the Rfam family "tRNA". Rfam says of the family: Transfer RNA (tRNA) molecules are approximately 80 nucleotides in length. Their secondary structure includes four short double-helical elements and three loops (D, anti-codon, and T loops). Lineage: Bacteria; Pseudomonadati; Planctomycetota; Planctomycetia; Pirellulales; Pirellulaceae. The record is from RNAcentral.
UCCGGCGUGGCCCAAUGGUAGGGCGGCUCCCUGUUAAGGAGACGAGUGAUGGUUCGAGUCCAUCCGCCGGAG